RNAcentral lists this ribosomal RNA (565 nucleotides) under Stegastes variabilis (cocoa damselfish). Its description in RNAcentral is "partial 16S ribosomal RNA". It matches the Rfam family "Bacterial large subunit ribosomal RNA", at positions 1852 to 2605 of the family's 2925-position model. The record is from RNAcentral. Lineage: Eukaryota; Metazoa; Chordata; Actinopteri; Pomacentridae.
GUCCUGCCUGCCCAGUGACCAUGUGUUCAACGGCUGCGGUAUUUUAACCGCGCGAAGGUAGCGUAAUCAUUUGUCUUUUAAAUGUAGACCUGUAUGAAUGGCGCGACGAGGGCUUAACUGUCUCCUUUUUCCAGUCAAUGAAAUUGAUCUCCCCGUGCAGAAGCGGGGAUGACCCCAUAAGACGAGAAGACCCUGUGGAGCUUUAGACACUAAACAGACAAUAGUACCUCCCUACAAAGAAACGAACCUACUGACUCCUGCCACUAUGUCUUUGGUUGGGGCGACCUCGGAGAACCACAAAACCCCCGUGUGGAAUGGGGACAACUUACCUUUUCUUACAACCCAAAACCAAGAGUUACCACUCUAAUUAACAGAACUUCUGACCAAUGAGGAUCCGGCUUUAUGCCGACCAACGGACCAAGUUACCCCAGGGAUAACAGCGCAAUCCUCUUCUAGAGUCCCUAUCGACAAGAGGGUUUACGACCUCGAUGUUGGAUCAGGGCAUCCUAAUGGCGCAGCCGCUAUUAAGGGUUCGUUUGUUCAACGAUUAAAGCCCUACGUGAUC